CCUGAAAGACCAAAAUAUUUGUGAUUGCACCCUUCAACAUAGCCGUAGUUCAACCUGAAAUGCAACUAGAAACUGAAACAUACCGUAGAUGAAGAAAAGGACUAUAGUCUUCAUCAGAGCUGUCCCGAUCUUCUUCCAAGCCCUUCUGAUUAGGAUCCUCCCAGCAAUCAUCCAUGUCAAUACUGUAAAUAAAAAUGAUUUACAAAACACACACACCCACAACACCAUAAACUUGAAGCACGAAAGAACACGAACUAAGAUGGUUUCAUGUGCAAGACUUACAUGCUAUUCCUCAUAUAAUUCGCCUCCUCCUCAUCCAGAGAGUCAUGCUGCUCCUCUUCAGCAAUGCUCAAGGAGUGCAUGCUGUGAAUAUAAAACGAAUCUAAAUAAAUAUAUUCAUCAACAAAACAAUGCAUUACGGUCGCAGUUGUAAGACGAACUCACCUAGUUUCUAGCACUCUGACCGCUUCGGUUUCUUUGCCCAACGGUUGAACACCUUGCAUAGCGAAUUCUUUGUCCCUGAUUCAAAAGAUAAAUAAGUCAGUCACAACUUACAAUGUCCUGCAUGGCUGGUUUAGAAACGCAGUUCUAAGAUACAUACCCAUCUCGGUCGGACUCUUCUGAAAAACUAGGUACAGGCCGCGGUGGUGGCUGUGCAUGUCCCUGGCUGAGAGUAGACAUUCCCUACCGCUUUUGAUAGAAAGAACCAAUUCAGUAUGUUUGCCGCUACAUCUUUAUAUAUGUUUUCACAAAUCACGGCAUUCAAGUCAGGUAACACACAAGUAGCAUACUAAGCUAACAAAACAUGAACCACAGACCAACUGGCUGUAAGGGAAUGCUAACAGACAGAGUCAACUAUCGCUAAAUUCCUUGGAAAUAUCUGGAAUAUCCUGAUACUAGUGGAGCUUGGGUGGCAAGUUAGCCAGAUAGCGAUCACAAUAACAUUACAAAGAAGUGUAUACGACGUUAUUACUAGCUACUCGACUAUUACUAGCAUCAUUGUCCAAGCGUGUUAUAACAAGAUGUCUGAUAUCGCUAACGAGAUGUCUUGAUAGCGGCUAAGCUAGGGUGACCAGACGUCCUAUUUUACCCAGGCGGACAAGUCCUCUUUUACCCGGACAAAAAAGAGGACGUAAACCUAGCAUCAAUGUCCUAUAAUAGGGUGACCAGAUUUCAGUUUGUGAAAAAGAAGACACUAUAUGCAUGCUGGACCCCGCACCCUCCCCCAGCGACGAAGUCCUCUUUUUUACAAACUCAAAUCUGGUCACCCUAAAGCCUAGCAAAACCUAUUGAAAUGUGCUUUCCUCGAGUAUGACAAACUAGCGAGUCAACAACUUUCAUAACACAGUCAAACAUCAAGCAAGAGACAGUACAAACUACUUACUAAUCCAGCAGAAAGAUGGCUAGCUGUGAAUCGAACUUGUAUCCAAAUGUGUCUUUCAGCUCUCUCCAACGAGUAAAAGCUGUUCCGAUUGUGACCCUAGUCCGAUCUCUUGCUCUGUCGGCCUCUCUUUUUCUCUUCUUUGCUUCAUCUGACAUAGUCUUCUUCCGUUUCUUUGGUGCGUUCUCCAUGAUGAAUACUGAUGAGACUUCGCUUGCUUCUCCCUUAUACUGUAGCUGCGAGCGUGGACUGGCACUAUAUGACAUUGCGUAAUCACUGCCAGAAAGCAGGUCGAAGUACAUCCGCCCCAGAUCGGGCGGCCCCAGAAUCCUACAUAGCGGAGUUAUUUCCCCACAGACCCCCGAUGGCAAUGGCGGAGGCGCAAAUCGCCAUAUUAAAAGUCAUUGUAGCGGCACAAUUUUUUUCAAGCUGUUAUUUUAAGGUACAAUUGUUGCAUACUGUUACUUUAAAUCAACUUAUAUCAAUUCCCUUUCCUAGAUAAACUGUGAUGUGACCGUGUCUCUCAUCCUUAUGUGCAGAGGAAUGUGUCAUUUUGUUUUCACGUGAUGAGCACUCAUACUGAUCCUGCUGCAAAUCUGUCGCUUAAGAUGCCAAUGAUGUGCUCAAUACAGUGAAGGCAUUCUCCAGUAGACAUUGAUUUAAUACAAUUUUAUUUGACCUUUAUGAAUGGGUCGCCCAUUGCUUGCUGGACUGGUGCUGACAGCUUUUACCCCUGAUGAUGAUGGGGGAGGGCAGAAGGCAGACGGGGUGGGGAGGGGGGUAAUCCGUAUCACUAACAUGACAUGAAAAUCACAGUGAAAAGAGUGUGAAGAAAACUGUUUCCAAGUUACCUUGUGUCUCUUCUGUAGGAACCAUUAUGCAAAAAGACAGGUGUUAGGUAUAGGCUUCUAACAGUGUGUGAGGCACUAUACUAUACACCUUCAUGGGAGGGGAAUGUUUGAAAUAUUAUUCAUUAUUAAGAUACCUGUGAGGUUAUGUAUACAGAUGUAAUCGUAAGAUGUGGCUGAUGGUGUAAAUUACCUUUUUGAUAUAAAGAAGAAUGUAGGCUAUCCUCUCCCUGUUAUUGAGGACGGCCUCCUCAGAUCUCACUGUGACAGAGUGGUCACUGUAUGUGACCCACUGGUCUGGCUGUUCCCCACAGUCGGCUAUAUAGUGGCCUGCCAUCGUCCAAUCACAAGGAACAGGGAGGUCAGACAUGCCUGCCUUUCUUAACAUUUACAUACUCAAUAUUCUCUCUCUGCGUGUGUGUGUGUGUCUCUUACCGCUGGUGGUAUCUGAGCCAAUGUGGCUAAAGACAUUAAUUAAGGAAUAAUGUCCCUCUCCUUCCAGAAAGGACAAUUUGAAAUUUCUUCAAAUACAUGAUGCAAACACACACACUAUUACACCUAAGUUACUUGUACAUUUAGAACUGUCUGUCUGUCUGUCUGUCUACAUUAUAUGCAUUUUCACCUUUCCCCUAGUGUCCUCAGGUCCAGAAUGGAGUCCAGUGUAAGCGCCUGGUGUUGUUUGGCGAGGGUCAGGGGACAGAACCUCUUGAGGUGGAGGAUCAACACCCUACAGAAAGACACGUAGGAAAGGGAGAAGAGAAACAAGAGAAAGAGGAGAGGAGAAAGGGAACAGAAAAACAGGGGAGAAAACAUGACAUGAAAAAAUGGAUAAAAUUGUGAUUAAAGUUGGUGUGAAAUCGUAUUGGUUAAUGAAUGUGGUAAACCGCCUAUAGACGGUCUGGGUUAACAAUGAAGGUUCUGAUGAAGACCUGAGAAGGUCGAAACUGUCCUGUAUCAAAAAAUAAACAUUCAUAAGGGAGUUACACAGUGAAGGUUUCAGACUCACUGAGGCAGAGUGUGGAAAUGACACCUCAAGGUUGACCCAUGACCCUCACAACACUCGGAACAGGGCCGGAUUAACAAUGUUCUGUGCCCUGGGCAACAAGGCUCAAGGCUACACUGUUGCAUGUAAUUUUAAAGUCAAGAUCAUGUUUAUUGUAUCACAAUUCAACAUUUAAUGUUGAUCACUUCACUACUAUAUAUCCUUAUUAUUUUACUUAAACAAAUGGACCUUACAACUGGCCUCCCUUAAAGACUGAACUCAUGACUACACAAACAAUUAUGAGGCCUAAUGACCUAUAUUUACUUUUAAAACUUCUCACAUUUGCACUCCCGCUUAACUGCUUCUCUAUCUUGCUGCACUGCUUCUCCCCAUAGGACGCUCUCCUCCAGCCGCAGCGCUUCAAGUCACGUGACUCUCGCUCGCAGUGUCCGCGGCGUAGAGCUGGCAAGCCCCAAGCGGCAUUUGUGCAGGCUAGACUACACAAACACUGUUUUUGACGUGAUUUAACAUAAUAUUUUGAUCGAACGAGUUGCAAUAAACUGCUCACAUUAAGGAAAGUAAGGACUGCGUUCAUAACGUGAUAUAACAUUUUAGUUGACGUUGUCCAGGGCCCCUUUGUUGUCAUGUGCCCCUGGGUUGUCCAGUUGUCCUAAUGGUUAAUCCGGCCUUGACUCGGAACUACACAUUUGAUUCCUGUGGAUAUUAAAAACAAGUGUGAAGUGUGUGUGUGUGUGUGUGUGUGUGUGUGUGUGAGUUUGUUUGUAAGACGUGUGUGGUA
This is a long non-coding RNA of Clupea harengus (Atlantic herring), 4010 nucleotides long. The record is from Ensembl. NCBI's taxonomy places the organism in Eukaryota, Metazoa, Chordata, Actinopteri, Clupeiformes, Clupeidae.